CUCCAAUCAUGUCCAUCCAUCUACUGUAUCUCUGUCUAUUGUCUGUCUCUAUCUCUUUUUCUGUAUGUCUCUGUAUGGAUUUGUUAAAAAAAAUUGUUAAAUAUUUCUUGUAUGGAAUCAAAUUUUUUUUCUUCCAGAAAAAAAAAAAAAAAAAAAAAGAAAACUGUGCACCAUCCACCAGCUACCUGACAGCUCAGAGUACUGUGCACCAUCCACCAGCUACCUGAUAGCUUCAAGUACUGUGCACCCUCCACCAGCUACCUGACAGCUUCAAGUGCUGUGCACCAUCCACCACCUACCUGACAGCUCAGAGUACUGUGCAUCAGACAAAAAAAAAUAAAAAAAAAAAAUAAAAAAAAGAAAAAAAAAUAAAAAAUAAAAUAAAAAACCUGUGCACCAUCCACCAGCUACCUGACAGCUCAGAGUACUGUGCACCAUCCACCACCUACCUGACAGCUCAGAGUACUGUGCAUCGGACAAAAAAAUACAAAAAAUAAAAAAUAAAACAAAGAAAAGGUAAA
Molecule: long non-coding RNA, 521 nt
Organism: Hyla sarda
Lineage: Eukaryota; Metazoa; Chordata; Amphibia; Anura; Hylidae
Exons: 2
Source: RefSeq, a predicted model, not a curated record